CCUACGGGAGGCAGCAGUGAGGAAUAUGGGUCAAGGGGCGCGAGCCUGAACCAGCCAAGGAGCGUGAAGGAGGACGGCCCGACGGGUUGUAAACUUCUUUUAUAAAGGAAUAAAGUGAGGCACGUGUGCCUUUUUGUAUGUACUGUAUGAAGAAGGAUCGGCUACCUCCGGGCCAGCAGCCGCGGUAAUACGGAGGAUCCGAGCGUUAUCCGGAUUUAUUGGGUUUAAAGGGAGCGCAGGCGGAGGCACAAGUCAGCGGUAAAAUCGCGGGGCUCAACCCCGCUCCGCCGUUGAAACUGUGUCCCUUGAGUGCGCGAAGGGUAGGCGGAAUGCGUGGUGUAGCGGUGAAAUGCAUAGAUAUCACGCAGAACUCCGAUCGCGAAGGCAGCCUACCGGCGCGCAACUGACGCUCAUGCACGAAAGCGUGGGUAUCGAACAGGAUUAGAUACCCCGGUAGUC
Molecule: ribosomal RNA, 459 nt
Filed under: uncultured bacterium
Lineage: Bacteria
Description: partial 16S ribosomal RNA
Rfam family: Bacterial small subunit ribosomal RNA
Source: RNAcentral